This 78-nucleotide transfer RNA is filed under the name Proteus mirabilis. RNAcentral describes it as "tRNA-Lys". It matches the Rfam family "tRNA". Rfam says of the family: Transfer RNA (tRNA) molecules are approximately 80 nucleotides in length. Their secondary structure includes four short double-helical elements and three loops (D, anti-codon, and T loops). Lineage: Bacteria; Pseudomonadati; Pseudomonadota; Gammaproteobacteria; Enterobacterales; Morganellaceae. The record is from RNAcentral.
CGGUUGUUAGCUCAGUCGGUAGAGCAGUUGACUCUUAAUCAAUUGGUCGGGAGUUCGCUAGCCUCCCACGACCCACCA